UUAUGCUAGAUAUUUUCAAGGUGAGGAGUGGAAGUGGAAUGGGGAAAGGACAUCCAAGAAACAACCUGCAAGGAAUGCAGGAGACUGAAAAAUGGCAGCUCUGGAUGGAUGCAAGAACACCUGGGAAAAUGGAAUCAAGGAAAGAGCAGAGCUCACCCCCACUCCAAGCUUGCAAUGGGCAAGAGAGCCGGAGAUAGCCAGGGCAUGAGGGGUGCUCUGGAGGUGCGAGGGCAGCAGGCUCAUUGUGCCUUCCAGAAGAUAUCCAAGACCUACUCUGCCCUAGCUGGAGCCAUCUCAGGGGCUUCUGAGAGUGGCUGCAUGCCACCAGUCUGAUCGGCCUUGGGGGCACAAAUCUUUCCUGUGCCUAUCAGGGCACCAGUGAGUAUUGCAAAGUGCUGGGAUCCUGCCAACAUCUCUGCAUCUCAUUUCUUAUGGCUGCUGCUCCUGGCUUCACAAGGGAUGAGGACAGAGCACUCUGCAGUGCUCCUUAAGUGUUCGUCCAAAAGCCAUUUCCUUGGUCUUACCGCUUGUCUUGGUGCUCCUUCUCAUCUCCUGAGAAGCUGGCCUCUGUCCCCUGAAGUCUGAAGCAGGAUUUUCAUCUAUCCAAUGGACUUUGAAUAUGGCCCCACUAGAAGCUGGCCUUGCAGCAGAGAACUGGCAUCAACCUCAUCCAGCCCGCCUCAGCCCCCACCAAGAAAUUACAGCAGCUCCUUAAGGACUUUCUCUUCAGGCUGACCCUGGACCAGCUCUGUGAGUGGGAUGUAGGAGUCCCCAGGCACAGCCCCCCUCACUUGCAGCCUUGUCCACCACACCUCUGUCCAGCAUCCAUACUAGAAUCAUAGAACCAUAGAAUAGCUAAGGUUGGGAAAGACCUUUAAGAUCAUCAAGUCUAGCCAUCAACCCAGCACCACAACCAUGCUCACCAUUAAACUAGGUCCUCACAUGUCAUAUCACAUGUUUUUUGAACACUUCAGGGAUAGUGAUAUCACCACUCUCUUGGGUAGUCUGUUCCAAUAUUUUAAAAUGCUUUAAAUGAAAAAAAGUUUCUUAAUAUCCGUCUAAACCUCCCCUGGUGCAACUUGAGGUGAUUUUUCUCUCAUCCUAUCACUUGUUACCUGGGAGAAGAAUUAGCCCUCACCUGUCUAUAACCUCCUUUUGGGUAGUGGUAGAGAAGAAUAAGGUCCUUCUGAGCCUCCUUUUCCCCAGGCUAAGCAACUCCAGCUCUGUCAGCUGCUCUGCAUAAGGCUUGUGCUCCAGACCCUUCCCCAGCUUUGUUGUCCUUUUGUGGACUUUCUCCAGUGCCUCAAUAUCUUUCUUGUAGGGAGAGGCCCAAAACAACACAGUGUUAGGCCUUCAGAAGAAGGCCUUUGGAGUUGUGGCCCUGAGGCAGUCCCUGUGUCCAGGAGUCUGUCCCUGCCCUUGGUGGCCAUGCACUGGAUACAGCUUCCAGGUGUGCAGGACAUGUCCUUCUCCCUUGGCUCCCAAGCACCAACCUCAUGCUGUUACUCCUCUCUCAGGCUGUGACAGAACCCAAACCCACAGCCCAGAGACCACACCUAUCAGCUGUCUCCUUCUGUGCCAAAGCUAAUGUCUAUGAAGUCCCACAAUGAGGGGGACCAGGGACUUGAUCUGUCUGGAUACAAACGCUUUUCCUGGGGCAUAAGUGGGGGGAUUGCAGCAGCUGCAGCCCAGAGGAAAGCCAAAGUGUAACCAGAGCCAUAGGCUGAGAUGGACAGUGCCAAAAGAACACCAGGGAAAGAGAGACUUGGAAAAACAGGUGAGCAGAGGUGACACUGGUGUGAUGAAAAGAUUGGUCAUUUUUAGAUCUCAAACAUUUGGAUCUCUGCCCAAAGCACAGUCAGGCAAACACAACUUCCAAAGUGUGAAAAUGGCUCAUUGUUGCUAUUGUAGUCACGUUCACUUGUCCCACUGAAACCAAGAUGUGCGACUCCUCUGUUAAACACUGUAGCAGGGCACCUCACUCUCUGCUAGGGCUAAUCUGUUGCUUGUUAGCUGGUGAACUCACCCCUCACAUGAGUUUCACAUGAGCUUGCUAAUUGGUGAAAUAACUCAAUCAGGACAGCUUGUCUUAUAGUGAGUUAUUUCAGCACCAUGUUUUCAGCUGAUAAUAAACAUCUUGCUGUGGAAGUGAGAUGAGGAGAGAUAAGCUGGAAUUUUUGACUGACAGACACUUCAUUCUAAAAUCUAUCAAAGCUACACCAAACUUUCACAAAGCACAUUUCUUCUGCACAUUCCCUGGAAAUGUGUGGUGGUCCCUCCCCAAAGCUGAGAUGCCUGCUUCAUGGUUACUCUCUUGAGUGUCGAGUGAAAGGACUCUGUGUACACUACAAUUUGGUGGUCAGUGUAAUUGACUCCUAAUCAGUACUAUUCCUUUGCUGGCUUUACUAUAGGUAUAUUGAUAUCAUGCACUGUUUUAUGUAAUAUACUAGUAGUUCUUUAGUUUUAUACUGUGUAGUAAGUAACUUUGUUUAAGAUCUUUUGUCUGCUAUCUCCUGUUUAUUCAAUAAAUAACUCAUUUUAUAAUAGACCUGGUCUGCCAUCCUUUAGAACUUGUGGGCUGGGGUAAUUUUAGGUGUCAACCACCUAAAUUUAGGCUGCUGCCAAAAAUCUGACCAAGGGCAGGACUUGUCUGAAGCUCACAUUUGAUUGAUAACAAACAAAUCCACUGGCUGGGUUUGUAUGGGAUACAAAGCAUGCUUCAAAUAAUGGUGUAAAACUUUUAGAGCUCAUUUCUCAUGAUGCCUAAAGAUUUUUAGCAUUUUUCAUACAUUUGUUCCUUUAUAGAUUAAAAAAAAAUAAUUGUGUACUUUUUAGUACUUUUCCUGCCCUCUCACAUUUUAGAACAGUGAGUUAACCCUUUCUAACACAUUCUUGAAAUUCUGUUUAGUCUUAUUCUCAAGAAGAAAAUUUCUGACAAGGACAUCCUGUUUUUCACUAGAAUUUGAGAAACAUAACAAGAUAUAGGGCAAAAAAACCCCUGGACCAACUCCAAGGGGCAGACCCAAGAGUGGGUUACUGGGGUAACUGAUCUCCUAUUGGAUGUACCUGCUAGAUGUACUAAUUAAAUAACCCUAUAAAAAUUAUAUAAAUCCUGUAUCACAUGUAUGCAUGGACAUAUUUGUGCACCUGAAAACUUUCAUUAAA
This is a long non-coding RNA of Malurus melanocephalus (red-backed fairy wren), 3165 nucleotides long. RefSeq lists it as uncharacterized. The record is from RefSeq and is a predicted model, not a curated record. NCBI's taxonomy places the organism in Eukaryota, Metazoa, Chordata, Aves, Passeriformes, Maluridae. The transcript is spliced from 3 exons.